RNAcentral lists this ribosomal RNA (433 nucleotides) under uncultured bacterium. RNAcentral describes it as "partial 16S ribosomal RNA". It matches the Rfam family "Bacterial small subunit ribosomal RNA", at positions 29 to 507 of the family's 1533-position model. The record is from RNAcentral.
AACGAACGCUGGCGGCAUGCCUAACACAUGCAAGUCGAACGAGACCUUCGGGUCUGGUGGCGCACGGGUGCGUAACGCGUGGGAACCUGCCCUUAGGUUCGGAAUAACUCCCCGUAAGGGGUGCUAAUACCGGAUAAUGUCUUCGGACCAAAGAUUUAUCGCCUUUGGAUGGGCCCGCGUUGGAUUAGCUAGUUGGUAGGGUAAAAGCCUACCAAGGCGACGAUCCAUAGCUGGUCUGAGAGGCUGAUCAGCCACACUGGGACUGAGACACGGCCCAGACUCCUACGGGAGGGAGGAGUGGGGAAUAUUGGACAAUGGGCGACGGGCUGAUCCAGCAAUGCCGCGUGAGUGAUGAAGGCCUUAGGGUUGUAAAGCUCUUUUACCCGGGAUGAUAAUGACAGUACCGGGAGAAUAAGCUCCGGCUAACUCCGUG